This is a long non-coding RNA of Tribolium castaneum (red flour beetle), 601 nucleotides long. RefSeq lists it as uncharacterized. The record is from RefSeq and is a predicted model, not a curated record. The transcript has 2 exons. NCBI's taxonomy places the organism in Eukaryota, Metazoa, Arthropoda, Insecta, Coleoptera, Tenebrionidae.
CACGUCUUUACGAUUAUCCGAACAAUUAUCCCUUUAGAAAGCCCGAAAUUUCCUGGAAACACAAUCAAAACAACAAAAGCCAAUAAAUGCCUUUAGAGAAAUUUCUAUUAAAAUAAGUGGUCAACCCCCUGUUGAGGGGUAGCGAUUAGAAACGAUAGAUUAGAAAGUGGAUAUUUUCUUCGUUAAUCCCUUAUUAUCAGCACUAUUUUAUGACCUGCCCUCGCAUUAUGCAUAUAAAUGUACAAUUUUCUUAAGUGAAAUCAUAACGUGUCCAGACAUUUGGCCGUAACAUCUUCAAAUUUGCUGCAACGAUAUCUAACCGAAAAAAAAAAAAUGGGUGCCUCUAUCAAGCAAGUUAGGGUAAAAAGGCUGCUCUGUCCUUGUUGCGAAGAGAUUGUCGUGUAUCCGAUAUCCAAAGAUGCGACUUCCGUAAUUUGCUCACAUUGUAACAACACAAUAACGUACUGUAUGUUUUGUUGCAUGUUACACAUUGUAAUAACUUGAUAAGCUGUACUUUAUCAAAAGUUAGUUUAAGUUUGUAAUUCGUAAAUAAAUUCUAAUUUAUAUGUUCUCGUUGAAGGGAAAUAAACGCAAAUUCGUA